This 475-nucleotide ribosomal RNA is filed under the name Campylobacter sp. 2018MI34. Its description in RNAcentral is "partial 23S ribosomal RNA". It matches the Rfam family "Bacterial large subunit ribosomal RNA", at positions 552 to 1028 of the family's 2925-position model. The record is from RNAcentral. Lineage: Bacteria; Pseudomonadati; Campylobacterota; Epsilonproteobacteria; Campylobacterales; Campylobacteraceae.
GAAACCGUGUACGUACAAGCAGUGGGAGCACCUUCGUGGUGUGACUGCGUACCUUUUGUAUAAUGGGUCAGCGACUUAUAUUUUGUAGCAAGGUUAACCGUAUAGGGGAGCCGUAGGGAAACCGAGUCUUAACUGGGCGAAUAGUUGCAAGGUAUAGACCCGAAACCCGGUGAUCUAGCCAUGGGCAGGUUGAAGGUUGGGUAACACUAACUGGAGGACCGAACCGACUAAUGUUGAAAAAUUAGCGGAUGACUUGUGGCUGGGGGUGAAAGGCCAAUCAAACCGGGAGAUAGCUGGUUCUCCCCGAAAGCUAUUUAGGUAGCGCCUCGUGAACUCAUCUUCGGGGGUAGAGCACUGUUUCGGCUAGGGGGCCAUCCCGGCUUACCAAACCGAUGCAAACUCCGAAUACCGAAGAAUGUUAUCACGGGAGACACACGGCGGGUGCUAACGUCCGUCGUGAAGAGGGAAACAACCC